CCUACGGGAGGCAGCAGUGGGGAAUAUUGCACAAUGGGGGAAACCCUGAUGCAGCGACGCCGCGUGAGUGAAGAAGUAUUUCGGUAUGUAAAGCUCUAUCAGCAGGGAAGAAAAUGACGGUACCUGAGUAAGAAGCCCCGGCUAACUACGGGCCAGCCGCCGAGGUAAUACGUAGGGGGGAAGCGUUAACCGGAUUUACUGGGUGUAAAGGGAGCGUAGACGGCAGCACAAGUCUGGAGUGAAAUGCCGGGGCUUAACCCCGGAACUGCUUUGGAAACUGUGCAGAUAGAGUGCAGGAGAGGUAAGUGGAAUUCCUAGUGUAGCGGUGAAAUGCGUAGAUAUUAGGAGGAACACCAGUGGCGAAGGCGGCUUACUGGACUGUAACUGACGUUGAGGCUCGAAAGCGUGGGGAGCAAACAGGAUUAGAUACCCCAGUAGUC
This 440-nucleotide ribosomal RNA is filed under the name uncultured bacterium. RNAcentral's name for it is "partial 16S ribosomal RNA". It matches the Rfam family "Bacterial small subunit ribosomal RNA", at positions 338 to 795 of the family's 1533-position model. The record is from RNAcentral.